Molecule: ribosomal RNA, 397 nt
Filed under: uncultured bacterium
Lineage: Bacteria
Description: partial 16S ribosomal RNA
Rfam family: Bacterial small subunit ribosomal RNA
Source: RNAcentral
AUACGUAGGUGACAAGCGUUAUCCGGAUUUACUGGGCGUAAAGGGCGUGUAGGCGGUCUUGCAAGUCAGAAGUGAAAUUCCUGAGCUCAACUCGGGCGCUGCUUCUGAAACUGCAGGACUUGAGUGCUGGAGGGGAUAGCGGAAUUCCUAGUGGAGCGGUAAAAUGCGCAGAUAUUAGGAAGAACACCGGUGGCGAAGGCGCUUAUCUGGACAUCAACGGACGCUGAGGCGCGAAAGCGUGGGGAGCAAACAGGAUUAGAUGCCCUGGUAGUCCACGCCGUAAACGAUGAAUACUAGGUGUAGGGGGUAUCGACUCCCGCUGUGCCGCAGUUAACACAAUAAGUAUUCCGCCUGGGGAGUACGGCCGCAAGGUUGAAACUCAAAUGAAUUGACGGGG